GCCUGGGUGGCUCAGUCAGUUAAGCAUCUGACUUUGGCUCAGGUCAUGAUCUCGCAGUUUGUGGGUUCGAGCCCCGCAUCAGGUU
This 85-nucleotide transfer RNA is filed under the name Felis catus (domestic cat). It matches the Rfam family "tRNA". From Rfam's summary of the family: Transfer RNA (tRNA) molecules are approximately 80 nucleotides in length. Their secondary structure includes four short double-helical elements and three loops (D, anti-codon, and T loops). Lineage: Eukaryota; Metazoa; Chordata; Mammalia; Carnivora; Felidae. RNAcentral also lists the same sequence under 4 other names. The record is from Rfam by way of RNAcentral.